GACAAUGGAUUUACUGCUUCUCUGCAUAUUGGUGUUAUUUUGUAUAAACAAGGUUAACACUCCUUUUAAAUUAAAUGCACCACCUGGUGACUGAGUGGGUGACCUUGCCAGCUUUCUUCACCUGGCUCGGGGAAGCCCAGGCUUUCGCUCCGAUUUCAACCUGUGGCUCUCCUUGGAAUCUCUUUUGCUUCUCACUUAAACAGAGCUCCUGGAGGAGGUUGGCCGGUGACUUGCCCUCUGACCCCGCCGUGGGGGACGAGACCCGAUGGAGGUACUAGGGGCCCCUGCGGCUGAGCCCGUGUCCAGGCACCUUCCACGUGGCGCAGGGCGGAUCAAGGCUUGCCCGGGGCCAGCGCGGGGCUGCCGCCAGCACGAGAGCCUCGGGGACCGCCCUCCUCCGGCAGCCGGUGUCAGCGGAGAGUGACAGACGGUCUGGUGGGCCCUGCCAAGGCAGCCCCUAAAUAGAGAUCUCCAGAGGGGGCAACACCAUAAAAAAGGUUCUUUGUGUUUCACUCUAGCGUGGUAUUGCUCUAAUAUAGAGCUCGGCACUUUCCCCAACCUCUAGGAAUUCGAACACCUGGAAAAAUUCUCCUGGCUUUACAUUGGAGGAAAUUUAAUGGUGUAAACCAACUCUGCAGGGGGGCCCCCUUUGAUUUGAGAAAGCAGUGAUCUGCGGUGCAGUGCUGAGCCGAAGGGGCUUGGAAACGACUUUGCCUGAGAAUGUCCAUUCCUCAAACACUUUAAGGAUGGCUUCGAGUUGUUUAGAAAAAUUUAGGCAGACAGCACCGUCUUGGAAGCAUCUAGAAACUUCGAGAGAAAUAAACUUCAGUUACUCGUUUAAUUACAGGCAUCAGCUUGCCAGUUCCCUGCUAACUGUCCAUUUCCGAAUAGGGCAGAAUUUUUCAGGGGUCUUUGCUGUGCUACUACAGCUUUAUGAAUUGUAGACCGGUUUGUCAGCCUUAUUUUAGCUCGGCAAAUAAGGAAAUCAUACCUGGGAAAGUGAAGUGACUUCCCCAAGGUCACCUGACCCAGAAGCCAAGACUCCAGGCUUGUAAGUUCCAUGAUGUUGAUGCCCUUAUUGUUUCCCUGUGGAGUCCUGCUACCCAGAAAGUAAGCUGUGAGCUAAGGAGAGGAAAAGGCCCAACACCUGCCUGUCAGGGCUCCUGGAUCACGCCCUGCUGCCUGCUGACCUAUAUUGGACUCGAGCCCUUCUUCUGGCAUGCUCACCUGUUAACCCACCUAUCAGCCCACACCUCUGACUGCUGGCUGCUCCCCAUUGAGCCUGAAAUACUGUGCUAUCUGCCUGUACCCUUUUGCAUAAGCUGGGGUUGGGUUAUCUCAGAUUUCUAUUUGGGUCAAGAUUGCCACAUACCUCACCUCUUCUGUUCUGGUCCUCAUCCUGUGUUCCUGGACAAAAAUAACAUUUGAGUAGAAAGCUUUUCUACUUGUUGACAUAGUUGAACAGAUUUUGCUUUAUUGAGAUGAAAUGGAGCCUAAAUUUAUCUGGAAAUGUGUGGAAUCAGUAGAGAGAAGUAAACACAACUCGAAGAAAGCGGGAAACCCCUGUGUACAAUUCAGCUUUUUCACUCCCAGGGAGUUGGGCAUGAUUGUAAAGAAUGAUGUUUUCAAGCCUGCCAAUAACAGAACACGUCUGUAUCCAUUGUGGAUGGGCUUCUUUGAGAAAGCUUCCUUUUCGCCCAAGUAGAGGAGCUCUUCACUGCCCUAAGAUUCUGCUUUCCUACUCCCAUGUCAGAGCAGGAAAAGGUGAAUAUUUUUCACACAGAAUAGCCUCAUCCAUUCCCACGGGGAGUGAGAUAGUUCCUGUAGGGUGCUAGUGAUGGCAUAAAAUUACAGCUCACUAGAGAAACAGUUGCGAGUAAAGAAAUAUAUACAUUUCCUCUAUUUGUGUUCCCUGUCUGUGUUGUCUAAGUUGCAAACAACAGACUCCACUUCAGCUAGGUUAAAGGGAAAAGAGGUUUAAUAAAGAAAAUUAAAUAGCUUAUAGCAUCACUGGGGAACUAGAGAAACAGAUUUAAGGCUAAGCUUCCAGAAACAUAUCCCAAAACAUGCCCCCAAACCGUGACACUGACAUGAAGAGACAGUUGUCAUUGCUGCUUUAUUGAACAGAGGACUGAGAAUUUUUCUACAGUCACUGCUGUUCUCUGCACUGAUGGAAGCCAAGCCUGCCUGGAGAACUCAACUUUGCAACCCAAAGCUGGUGGCUAAUGUGGCUACCCCUACCAACAAAAUGGAAACUCCACCAGGUGUCUGAAUCCAGCUCUCACGACCAUUUAGUGGAGCAGGAAGAAACUGCAGGCCUUUUGGAGGUAUUUCCUUGUGAUUCUGGUCCAAUCCACCACCACCGUCUCACGCUUAGAACCCUGCAAUCCUUCUUUCAAAGAUCCCUUUUGUAGAAGCACGGAGAUCAUGUAAUUGGCUGAGAACAACUAUCCAGUCUGAGAGGAUGACCUUUUACCCUCUACCCAAAAAGAGCACUCCAGAGAGAAAGGUGCCGUAAUCUGGGUUUAAGGCUUCUUACCAUCAUGUGGAGAGCCUGUUUCCUGUGCCACACACACAGUGGCAAGAAAGCUCAGCUUCAACAUUAAUGUAGAACUUCCCACGUUGCUCUUGAGAAAAUCCACUCCUUAAAGAGGAAGAAAGGACCUCACCCCAUGCCUCCCUCCCUCGGUGGAGAUGCCCACACAUGGGCACUCGGAACCAGUUGCAGGCAACUGUGAAUUGGGAGGAAGGAAAGAAGAGAUUAGGACUGAAAGAGGUGAGUAUGUUCAAGUCUGUUUCUAGUGUAGAGAUAGCGAGAUGGUCACCCGUUAAUUCAUUUGCAAGGCUGAGAGUAAUGCUGAAUCCUGGCUUAGGACACCAGUAGAUGACUUCCCAACAAAUAAGUGGACAAAAAGAUGACACCACCACCUGAAGGAACUUUUAAAGCAAUGAAUGAAGCACCUUGAAAAGUUAGAUUUUGGUUAAGAGACACAUCCCCAAAGUUAAAUGAAAAGGUAGAACCUGGCUUUGCAAAACUGAUGAAAAAUGGCCAUGUAUGCUACAAAGUAAGACCCUUUUUUUGACAUUUUUUUUUUUCCAUGAGAGUCAACAGGGGAAAGUUUGGCUAAUGUUUUCUAUCACUAAAGACUUAAAAAAUAACUGGAAACAUUCCCAUAGGCUUUGUUUGUUUGUUUUUAAGAGGCUUGUUUCUCGUUUUUCCAUGCAAAUUAAAAUUCCUAGUGUGGCUUCUAUAAAUUUGAACUUUUGAAAACUUUCCCUUAGCAUUUGGCUCAAAGUGUAGCUGGCACUUCCGUGUGACAACAGAGAAAUUUCAGUUCUGCUUUUCUUCAGAGCUGCGUGUUAUGGGUUAGAUAAGUAAACUUGGCUUUCUCUGUUCUAACGACAGUGUGUCCAGGGAAGCUGGAAGAAGAAUGGCUCCAGGGUUCCUGUCGAUGCCAGAUUUCACCAGCGCUACCCUGCUUUUAUCAGUUUUCCAUAUAGAGCUUUCAUAAAGGUUUUCUUUUUCUGUUUUUUAAAUUGUGGUAAAAUACAUAUAACAUAAAAUUUACCAUCCGUGACACUAACUGCAUUUACCAUGUUGUGAUGCAACCAUCACCACGAGAACAUUUUCACCACCCCAAAAGGAAACCCCAAACCCAUUAAGCAGUUACUCUUCAUUUUCCCUCUUCCACCAGCCCGUGGCAACCACUAAUCUGCUUUCUGUCUGUGUGGAUUUGCCAACUCUACUUUUUAUGUUUCAUAUAAAUGGAAUUAUGCCAUAUACAUAACCUUCUAUGUCUCACUGCUUCUACUUACAAUAAAUGUUUUCAAUCGAAGUUCAUUCACCUUGUAGCAUGUAUCAAAAUUUCAUUCCUUUUUAUGGUUGAAUAGUAUUCCAUUCCAUGAAUAUGUCACAUGUUAAAAAAUUCCUUCAUGAGUUGAUGAACAUCUGAGUUGUUUUCAUUAUUUUGCUACUGUGAAUAGUGCUAACAUGAGCAUUUUUGUGAAUGUUUUUAUUUGAACACCAGUUUCCAGUUCCUUGGGGAAUAUACCCAGGAGUGGAGUUCCUAGGUCAUAUGGAAAUUCUCUACUGGGCUCAUUGAGGAGCCAUCAAAUUGCUUUCCAUGGUGGCUGGACCAUUUCACGUUCCUGCUAGCAGUUUCCUAGGGUUCCAAUUUCUCCACAUCCCUUCCAACACUUGCUAUUGUCCAUUAUUUUGGUAGUUAUCUAAGUGUGUGUGAAGUAUCUCACUGUGGUUUUGAUUUGCAUUUCCCUAAUGGUUAAUGGUAUUAAGCAUCUCUUUAUGUGCUCAUUGGUCAUUUGUACGAUCUGUGUUAAAGUUUUCUUUUUGAGAAAGUGUUUUUCAGUUUCAAAAACAUAGAUUGUAAAUUACAUUUAGAAUGUGCCCAUUUUUCUAGCCCAGCUUGGUCCCUUUGAGAAGUUGCCCUUGGUCCUGAAACCAACAGCACAAUCCUGCCAGGUGCCAGUGUCCAUGCAGUGAGCUCCUGAGCUGCCUGGUUCUACCUGCUAGUGCCUGGCUGUCUCUUGACUUAUGUAGCUGAAAUUUCUGCAUUAUCUCUUCUUCCAUCUGCCCAAUCGACAUUAUACCUAUUAUAUCACAGGCUUGAUUUGUAGUUCUGCUCCUUAUAUUUAUCCUGUCACAGGAGCUAGCAGCAUGUGCUCCAGAGUUGGACUGUGAUGAAGACCUUGGAGAACCCAGUAUCUCAGUUUUCUCAGCUCUAAAGUGGCUAUCUCCAUAGUACUUGCCUUGUAGAUGUGUUGUAUUAAAUUAGGUAAUGCAUAUACAUCAUUUGGCCUGGUGUUUUUGAGGUGUACACUCAAUAAGAGGUACUUUAUAAACAUCUUGCCUCUCCCUUUGCAUGCUAGUCUCCUUGUACUGACAACCUGGUGAUCCCAUCUGGGUCCCCUGAUAAGACCUGGAUAAUAUGACUCUCUAGUGUUCUUAAGAUACUGUUACUAAAACCAUCUUUAUUUAUUUAUUUCAACUUUUAUUUUAAGUUCAGGGGCACAUGUGCAGGUUUGUUAUAUAGGUGAAUUUGUGUCAUGGGGGUUUGUCAUACAGGUUAUUUUGUCACCCCGGCAUUAAGUGUAGUACUCAUUAGUUAUUUUUCCUGAUUCUCUUUCUCCUUCCACCCUCCACUCUCUGAGAGGCCCAGUGUCUGUUGUUCCCCUGUUUGUACAGGACCAUCUUUAAAGGCAUUGGGACUCAAUACACAAUUUCUAAAUAUCAUGGGAAUUAGCAAAUUAAUUUAUAAGUUUUUAUACAGCAGUUUAAUUCUGGGAAUGUAAUACCGUUUAUUUCUGAACAGGAAAUUUAAUAUCAUCUACUUUUUAUUGAGUGCCUAACAUGUUCCAGCCACUUACUAUAGGUGCUUAUUAUAUUAUUUCUAAUUCUAGUAAUAACGCUGAAAGUUGAUACUAUUGUCUCUGUUCAAUAGUUGAGGCAUAAUUGAAGUCAAAUGGGAGUAAGUAACAGACCGCAGGUCUUAAGGCAGAUUCACUAAGUAGCAAGGUUAAAAUUUAACACUCGGUCCCCAUGAUCCCCCAGUUUUUUGCUCCUUCUUAAUCACCAUACAACUGAUAUUAGAGUGAGUAGCUUUAGGCAUUUACUAGAAUGUUUGAUAUUCAAUGAAAAAAUUCUGAAGGUGCAUGGACCAAUAAAUAUUGUGAAUAUCCAUGUGAAGUUUGUCACUCCCCCAAAAUUUCAUUCCUCUUCCCAUCCUUUCCAUUCCUCUUCCCUGCUGCUCGUGCUCUCUCUUUUUCUACCAGAUGACAGAUGACUAAACAAAAUAAUAAAAUGUGAAGCAAGUUCUGUUUUGCCCAUGGAGGUGGAAAGUGAGUGUGUAUGAUCCGUUGGAAGAAUUUGGAGAAGAUUCUCUAAGAAUUAGGAAAUCGUUACCUGACUGAAUAAAGCAUGUAGAAUUAUGAUUAUUAUGCAGAUGUGUAUCUUGUUCCUGACAAACUAUAAUAUAAAGCAAGUGUUCUGAAAAUAUGUUAAUGAAAAGAAGAAAGUUACACAGGAUGAGAAAUUCACUUUCGCAAUGCUUAAUGUAAAGCUGAUUAUAAUAUUGAAGUCAAAAUUAAUUCAGUCUUAAGUCAUUCAGAUAAUUGAAUAAAUAAAAUUUAUAUUUAAUCUGAUGUAAUUAGCAUGUUUUUAUAUAUCAAUUUCAACAGAAGAAAGAAAAGUACCGCCCACUUUAUUUUCCUAUGGAUCUGGGGUGGCAAAAUAAAUUUUCAUCUCGUGUGUCUGCUACAGUCUCCCAAAUGAUUAGUUAUUUAUUCCUUGUCUGAAUUUGCUGACAAGGUCACCCUCAGACCUUUGCAGGUGGCAGUUGAGAGAACUUCAUAGUCACCUGACCUACUUCCAAGCUGUACCGUCUACAUGAUGCCCAGACACAUUCGACUUCCCUCUUGACUUUCUCACUUGUUCUCCUUGCCUAUUUAUUCUAAUUUUCAUGUUAUCUUGGUGUAUUAGAGCUAUAACUCAUGUUAACUCUUUUUGAGA
This 6526-nucleotide long non-coding RNA is filed under the name Homo sapiens (human). RNAcentral's name for it is "HSALNT0383469". The record is from RNAcentral. Lineage: Eukaryota; Metazoa; Chordata; Mammalia; Primates; Hominidae.